Molecule: transfer RNA, 66 nt
Filed under: Othius laeviusculus
Lineage: Eukaryota; Metazoa; Arthropoda; Insecta; Coleoptera; Staphylinidae
Description: tRNA-Ile
Source: RNAcentral
AAUGACGUGCCUGAAAAAAAGGGCUAUUUUGAUAGAAUAGAUUAUACAAAAAUUUUGUCUUCAUUA